GAUGAACGCUAGCGGCAGGCCUAAUACAUGCAAGCUGAACGGCAAGAUUUGUAGCAAUACGAGUCCUAGAGUAGCGUAAGGGUGCGUAACACGUAUGCAAUCUGCCCGCAACAGGAGGAUAGCUUAGCGAAAGUUGAGAUAAGACUCCAUAAGAUCACGAGAGGGCAUCUGAUUGUGAUUAAACUACAAGGGGUUGCGGAUGAGCAUGCGUCUGAUUAGUUAGUUGGCGGGGU
RNAcentral lists this ribosomal RNA (233 nucleotides) under uncultured bacterium. Its description in RNAcentral is "partial 16S ribosomal RNA". It matches the Rfam family "Bacterial small subunit ribosomal RNA", at positions 28 to 258 of the family's 1533-position model. The record is from RNAcentral.